RNAcentral lists this small RNA (381 nucleotides) under Histoplasma ohiense. Its description in RNAcentral is "hypothetical lncRNA". The record is from RNAcentral. Lineage: Eukaryota; Fungi; Ascomycota; Eurotiomycetes; Onygenales; Ajellomycetaceae.
GAAUACUCAUAGCCGACGAAUUGAAUGAUGGAUUGGUAUGGAGGGCAACCUAUGAUGAAUCGAUGGUGAUGAUGGUGCAUGACGGUGGUUGCAGAGAUGAGAUUUAACCCCCCAGCAAAUAUGCUGUUGGCGUGCUCUGCAUGCUUGCCUGCAGUUGUCCAAUAACAGAAUUUAACGGAGGAUUACUGCGUAUGGGUAACCAUCAGCGGACAGAGUCGUAAGAAGAAUUGACAUCCCUCGCGCACGCGUGCAUCGGUAGUUUGAACUGGCAGGAAAUGAAUGAGGUUGGUUGCGUUGCGAGAAUGUCACCACUGCCAUAGUUUGUUUCAAGAUAGGAGCAAAAAAAUGAAAAUAAAAAUAAAAAUAAAAAUAAAAAUAAAA